This 433-nucleotide ribosomal RNA is filed under the name uncultured bacterium. RNAcentral describes it as "partial 16S ribosomal RNA". It matches the Rfam family "Bacterial small subunit ribosomal RNA", at positions 29 to 507 of the family's 1533-position model. The record is from RNAcentral.
AACGAACGCUGGCGGCAUGCCUAACACAUGCAAGUCGAACGAUACCUUUGGGUCUUGUGGCGCAGGGGUGCGUAACGCGUGGGAAUCUGCCCGUGGGGUCGGAAUAACAGGUGGAAACGACUGCUAAUAGCGGAUGAUGGCGUAAGUCCAAAGAUUUAUCGCCCACGGAUGGGCCUGCGUAGGAUGAGCUAGUUGGUGAGGUAAAGGCCCACCAAGGCGACGAUCCUUAGCUGGUCUGGGAGGAUGAUCAGACACACUGGGGCUGAGACACGGCCCAGACUCCUACGGGAGGCAGCAGUGGUGACUAUUGGACACUGGGCGAGAGCCUGAUCCAUCCAUGCCGCGUGAGUGAUGAAGGCGUUAGGGUUGUAAAGCUCUUUUACCCGGGAUGAUAAUGACAGUACCGGGAGAAUAAGCUCCGGCUAACUCCGUG